Topomyia yanbarensis is the source of this 1950-nucleotide long non-coding RNA. RefSeq lists it as uncharacterized. NCBI's taxonomy places the organism in Eukaryota, Metazoa, Arthropoda, Insecta, Diptera, Culicidae. The transcript is spliced from 4 exons. The record is from RefSeq and is a predicted model, not a curated record.
GUACAAUGUGGACGUCAACAAACUGCUUGAUAUUUAUUGAGUAAACAACGAACGUCAAUAUUAGCAUUCUGCAGCUGCGACGCUAAUGAAACUACUAGAAUGCAGAAGAAAUAAUCUGGAACCACAAGAGAAGGCGUCCUUGGAGCAAACACCAAAAUCCAGCCCAAUCCCCAUCGGUUGCCAUAACAGCGAAGAUGAAUUUAUGUACAUAUCCGGCAAAUUAGAGCAAGUCUACAUCGAUGUAACAUCCGUAAGAUAUUGGAGAGACUGGUACCGCCAACUUACGCAAAAACGAACGCGCAGGCGUGGUUAGCCUACGGCAUACUCUCCCACCAAGCAGGGUAUCUACGGUACCAGCAAAUGAUCACGUGUAAUCCUGUGGGGCGAUAAAAUUUACGGCAAGAAACAUUUCUUGUUUCAUGGAGAACAAAUAAAAUCUGUGUUAGAACCCAAUUUAAGCAUUAACAGCGGACACGUGUCACUAUUGAUGAGUCAUUGGUUCGAACGGAAACUAUCUGACGAAAGUGACGGUAGUUUAUCGAUCUCCUUCGAAGUCGUAUACCAACAUAAAGGCUGCCACCAUGAACCACCCAUUGAAGCUCUCAAUUUUAGUGAAUGCAGCUCAACUAACCCGACAGGAUACGCGCAGAAAUCUGACAGGGCUGCCAAACCAAGACUUACAGAAAUCUAGCAGAGCGGUCUCUGCCAGAAAAUUUGCUGACUGGGUAUCGGAAACGGGGCAAAUCCCAAUGAAGUUACGGAUCGAGUUCCUAGCCAAACGCGAAAUCGUAAAAAGCACAUACAACCAGAACCAGUUAGCGAAGUUCAUACAACUCACCAUAGAAAGGGAGGAAACAAGCGGCACUUUCCUAUCAACAAUCACAGACAAACACAUUGAUGUGGUCCUGCAAGUUCACCCGAUAGGCGAAAACGUAUCGUGGGAACUCAGACCGAACAUGGAAGGAUACGUCAGCAUGCAGUCGAAAAUCCGGCACUCACUGUCAGCACAGCAAAGGAAAAAGAAAAACGUACCAAAAGAGCAAUGGAGGCAGCUUUUCCAACAAACCAUGCAAACAGAAUACCGGGAUUAUGUAAGAAUAUUCACCAAUGGUAGCAAAACAGGAAACGGGACAGCAAUCGCCUUCUACGAUGAAACCGCCAACACCACAAAGACAGAAAAAAUCAGUUCUGAAGUCACCAUCCAAACAGCAAUCGAAUGGAGCAUACAUCAAUCGUAUUCAAAGGUAGUAAUCUGACGGACUCAGCAAGUGCUUGCACAUUACUGCAAAACAAAGAAGAAAUCAGAAACAACUACAUCGCCUGGAAGAUCUUCGAGCUGUUCCAGCGAAAAGAUGCAAACCAACUCAGGAUACAAUGGAUCCCAAGCCACUGCGGAAUAACCGGUAACGAGAUAGUGGACACAGCCGCAGUGAAAGCUACAACCGGCAGACAAACGCUAUACAACUCGCUGACAGUAGGAGAUGCAACGUUAAUGGCAAAGGAAGAAACCUGGGAAGAUUGGUCGCGCCUGUUCAGCGAAAUGAACCGAGAAAAGGGACGCGGGUAUAAAACCAUACAACCGCAACCACUCAAGACGACAUGGUUCAAACACUUAGCCACAGAGAAACUUAGCAGUGAACGCAAGAGAGAUUAAAUAUCUAAGCAGAAUACGUUCUGGACACAUGCUCACCAAAGAUAGGAGAUUCCACUGGAAAUGGGAGGAUACAGAUCGAUGUGACAUAUGCGACGAGGUAGAAGAUAUAAAACACAUACUGUACAACUGCACAAAAUUCAACACCAUCAGAAGCAAAUAUCCAGCUCUAGAAUAUUUCAAACCUUUAGAAAAAAUUCUGAUAGAAGAAUGCGAAACUAGUAUGACACAGAUUCGUCGCUUCCUAACAGAAGCAAAAAUUUAAUUGCAAACAAGCAAAACCGACAACACUGCCAUAA